AUUGAACGCUGGCGGCAGGCCUAACACAUGCAAGUCGAACGAGUGGCGGAUGGGUGAGUUAUGUCUGGGAAACUGCCUGCUGGAGGGGGAUAACUACUGGGAAAGGUAGCUAAUAACGUAAACAUGCAGCUGUGCCCAGAUGGGAGUAGCUUGUUGGUGGGGUAUCGGCUUACCAAGGCGACGAUCCCGAGCUGGUCUGAGAGGAUGAACAGCCACACUGGAACUGAGACACGGUCCAGACUCCUACGGGAGGCAGCAGUGGGGAAUAUUGCACAAUGGGCGCAAGCCUGAUGCAGCCAUGCCGCGUGUAUGAAGAAGGCCUUCGGAUUGUAAAGUACUUUCAGCGGGGAGGCGUUACCCGCAGAAGAAGCACCGGCUAACUCCGUGCCAGCAGCCGCGGUAAUUC
RNAcentral lists this ribosomal RNA (406 nucleotides) under uncultured bacterium. RNAcentral's name for it is "partial 16S ribosomal RNA". It matches the Rfam family "Bacterial small subunit ribosomal RNA", at positions 30 to 526 of the family's 1533-position model. The record is from RNAcentral.